CCCCUAGUGGUCUACUGUUUAAGACUCUGUGCUCCCAAUGCAGGAGGCGCAGGUUCGAUCCCUGGUUGGGGGA
RNAcentral lists this transfer RNA (73 nucleotides) under Bos taurus (domestic cattle). It matches the Rfam family "tRNA". From Rfam's summary of the family: Transfer RNA (tRNA) molecules are approximately 80 nucleotides in length. Their secondary structure includes four short double-helical elements and three loops (D, anti-codon, and T loops). Further hydrogen bonds mediate the characteristic L-shaped molecular structure. tRNAs have two regions of fundamental functional importance: the anti-codon, which is responsible for specific mRNA codon recognition, and the 3' end, to which the tRNAs corresponding amino acid is attached (by aminoacyl-tRNA synthetases). tRNAs cope with the degeneracy of the genetic code in two manners: having more than one tRNA (with a specific anti-codon) for a particular amino acid; and 'wobble' base-pairing, i.e. permitting non-standard base-pairing at the 3rd anti-codon position. The record is from Rfam by way of RNAcentral. Lineage: Eukaryota; Metazoa; Chordata; Mammalia; Artiodactyla; Bovidae. RNAcentral also lists the same sequence under 3 other names.